AUGGAUUGUUGCUGGACGGCUGAGCGCCGCGCUCGCCACGGAUUGCCUCACGAUCCCCUCUGCAAGCUAUGCGGCCAAGAGCUCGUGUCCCUGGAUCACCUGCUUGCCCGGUGCGUCUUCUCCAGGAUUACUUGGCAUGAAAUCCUCUCAUGGUGCCGUCUACCAAUCCCUACGCCGUGUUCCACCGACGCCUUCUUCGAAUGGUGGUGCAAAACCAACAACACUGCCCCGGCCUCGUAUCGCAAGGGGAUUAAAUCGCUCAUCGCGCUCACCGCCUGGUCCAUUUGGAAGCAUCGCAACACCGCUAACUUCGACAAUGCCCGGCCCUGUAACGAUGAUCUUGCUCGCACAAUCAAAGAUGAGGCCCGCCUGUGGGCACGUGCUGGAGCAACUAAGUUAGCAUCCAUCAUUCCUGUAACCUAAGACUUAUUAUAG
RNAcentral lists this ribosomal RNA (435 nucleotides) under Triticum aestivum (bread wheat). RNAcentral describes it as "partial small subunit ribosomal RNA". The record is from RNAcentral. Lineage: Eukaryota; Viridiplantae; Streptophyta; Magnoliopsida; Poales; Poaceae.